UACGGGGGGAGCAAGCGUUGUUCGGAUUUACUGGGCGUAAAGGGCGCGUAGGCGGGCGGUCAAGUCAGGGGUGAAAGCCCCCAGCUCAACUGGGGAAGUGCCUCUGAUACUGACCAUCUCGAGGGAGGUAGGGGCGUGCGGAACUUCCGGUGGAGCGGUGAAAUGCGUAGAUAUCGGAAGGAACGUCGGUGGCGAAAGCGGCGCGCUGGACCUCUUCUGACGCUGAGGCGCGAAAGCCAGGGGAGCAAACGGG
This 253-nucleotide ribosomal RNA is filed under the name uncultured bacterium. RNAcentral's name for it is "partial 16S ribosomal RNA". It matches the Rfam family "Bacterial small subunit ribosomal RNA", at positions 524 to 776 of the family's 1533-position model. The record is from RNAcentral.